Molecule: transfer RNA, 72 nt
Filed under: Anaerolineaceae bacterium
Lineage: Bacteria; Bacillati; Chloroflexota; Anaerolineae; Anaerolineales; Anaerolineaceae
Also listed under: 2 other names
Description: tRNA-Lys
Rfam family: tRNA
About the family: Transfer RNA (tRNA) molecules are approximately 80 nucleotides in length.
Source: RNAcentral
GGCCGUGUGGCGCAACGGUAGCGCAGCGGACUUUUAAUCCGUUGGUUGCAGGUUCGAAUCCUGCCACGGUCA